CAGCAAGCAGCCUCGGCAAGCUGAGCCUUUUUUUAAGACUUUUUUUUGUUCUGACUGAUGCUCCUUCCCAAAGGUUAGUUUCUUCAACACUGGAAAUUCUCCAAUGCUUAGCUUGCACUUGAUGGCAGGAACAGCUAUAUCCUCCCUUGAAACCUAUGGGGCUGUAUCCACGUGGAACCCCAACCCACCCUUGCCUCUUGUAACCACCUAGUCUUAUGCCCUAAAUACCAGACCUGGAGUUGGGCUCCAAUCCAGCCAAUAAACAUCCCCUGCCAGAGCAGGCUUUUCUUCACCAGCCAGGAGGAGCACUAUUGUGCCCCAAUUCAGACGGCCCUGGCACUGCCCUAGUGUGUAAAGAAUCCCAUUUUUUCAUUCAUCAGCCAAGAAGGUUGGUGUUCCAAGGUGUCCCAGGAGGGGACAUGCCUGCUGGGGAUGUAAGCCCUCAUCACUGCCCCAUCCUCACUCCCCAUAGGCCUCUCAUUCCUUUCUUUGAAGGGGGGCUCAGCCCUAGGCAGGGCAGUCCUUAAAGGAUACCCCCACAACUGGGCCUGCAGCUGGAAGAGCCUGCUGCAGGAGAAAGCCCCAAGUCCAGGGCACCUGGCACCCCCCCCCCGCCUCCCUCGACCCUGAGCAAGAGGUCUCACACAGCAUAUCCCAC
This 658-nucleotide long non-coding RNA is filed under the name Homo sapiens (human). RNAcentral's name for it is "long non-coding RNA NONHSAT250639". The record is from RNAcentral. Lineage: Eukaryota; Metazoa; Chordata; Mammalia; Primates; Hominidae.